This is a long non-coding RNA of Ictidomys tridecemlineatus (thirteen-lined ground squirrel), 2130 nucleotides long. RefSeq lists it as uncharacterized. NCBI's taxonomy places the organism in Eukaryota, Metazoa, Chordata, Mammalia, Rodentia, Sciuridae. The record is from RefSeq and is a predicted model, not a curated record.
GUCUCCAUCUGGUUUGAAGGCUAUUUUGAUCCACCGGAUGCAGAUUAGCUGCUGCGAUCUGGGGCUAAGCGGUUGGAGAGACGCCUUUAUCUAUAGGAGAACAAUUUAAAACUAACUCAAAGCACAGAGAACAAAUAAAUAAAUUCCUCUCUCUGUUCCAAGCACUCUCCAUCCUGUUUCUACAGGUAAUUGCAAAGGGAUUUUUUUUUUUUUUUUUUGCUUCAAACAGACUCUCGUUUGCAUGGAGCGUGGGGUACUUCAGAGUGGACUGGAGACCGGCCGACUUCUUGCCCAGAACACCAGGCCACCUGCUGAAGGACCUGGGCCUUCUUUCCCACAGGUGCCUGUCUGUGGACAGGGCUGGUGCUGGUCUCUAGUUGUGUGGAAGGGUGCGGAAUCCCUUCUUGCAGGAUGCCUUCGUUGCAAGCACGAAGGAGGGGCUGGCGGUGCCUGGUGACUCUCAGUCCCUGCUGUCUCCUGGGAACAGGUUUCAAACUGUCCUGGGGAUCAUUAAGGAGGAAAUCCAGGACCUCCUGAAGGGCAGGAGGACUCCAGGGAGCUGUUAGGAUGCAAGAGUCCUCUGCUGGAAGGCUGGAGAUGAAGUGAGAUAUGGCACCACUGGCUGAGUUUGAUUUUGAAUUCAUACCCAGUGUUGGUCCUGCGGAGGAAUUGUCAGGACGGAAGGUCCAUCUCCAUCCUCACGUUUUUGUCCUCUCCCUGGUGACUCUUCACUGAGUGUCAACCAAUGUGUGACCUCAGAGGGGGUUUCUCCAGCACACAUCUGCUCAGGAGGCUCUCCUCCAAGGAGGCGGAACCAUGCAGUAAGAGCCUUGUGACAUUUUUAUCAGCAAAGACUGAGUCUAGCACCGGCUUUGUCCUCGGCGGCCUGCAUGACUCUGGACGUGGUCUUUUCGCUCUGCAGAAUGGAUGAUAGCUAAGCUGCUCUGCCUUUCCCAGCCUGGGUGCCUGUGGACAGGGCCUGGAACUUUCUUCCUUGCUUCCUCAGCCAGCAGACUUGCCACCCCUCGGGUUGUUCUUCCACAACUCUGCACUGUGUCUUAGCCAGUCUAGCCCUACCCUGGUGAUCCCACCUCACCCUUCCUCUAUGAUGGCUACUCCUGCAUGGGCCUGGCACCUUGGGGAUGUCAGCACCCUGCUCACCAUGUCCCUGAACCCUCCCUGUCCACCUUCCCCUGGGUCACUGUGUCAUGUCAGCUGGCCCCCUCUGGACAUCCUCUCUCCACCACCCAGAGUGAGUUUUCUGAAUGAAAAACCUGACCAUGUGACUCCCUGGCUUAAAAUCCUUAAGCUUAGUAUUAUCCUUUCGUUCAGCAACAGUAUUUGCUAAGACCCACUGUGCGCCAUGUGCUCUGGGCACACACAUAAGGUCCUGGGCUUCCUGGCCCUGCCCCCAGCCCUCGACCCCUCCCUGAGUGCCUGACAUGAGGACCAUUUGCAGCUCCCCAAGAAUGCCAAGUUGCUCAGCCCUUCCUGUGACGCCCUCCUCCUCCCCUUGCCCCUCCAGCCCCUCUGGACUUCAUUAACUCAUCUUACACUCUGUUUUGAUGUCAUUUCCCCCACCUAGAAACCUACAGGGAGGGCCCCUCAGGCUUGUGUGAGUGUGGCCCCCGGCUUCUGCAGCAUCCCCCACCCCCACUGCACUUAUCCUCUGUAAUCUACACUGGUGGUGCACCAGGCUCCCCUGCCUCUGUGAGCUGGGCCCCAGCACACACCUCCCCUCCCCAACAUCUUGUGCUGUAGACUAUGGAUGUGUCCCUUCCCAAGUUCAUACAAUGAAUCCUAACCCCCAAGGUGACAGUAUGAGGAGGUGGGGCCCUUGGGCAGUGAUUAAGUCAUAAGGGCUUUGCAAUCAGUGCCCUUAUCAAAGGAGCUUAGGGGAGGCUGUGGUUUGCCUCUUCCUCCAGGCAAGGACACAGUGAGAAGGUGCCAUCAGUGAACCUGAAAGUGACAUGGAAUUUGCUGGUGCUUUGAUCUUGGACUUCUCAGCCUCCAGACUUUUUACUUCCUGGCCAUGAGGGAAGAGGCUUUGCUCUACCACACACUCCUGUCAGAAGACGCUGCCUCAACACAGGCUCAAAAGCAGCAGUGCCAACAACCAUGGACAGCAAC